Molecule: ribosomal RNA, 429 nt
Filed under: Verrucomicrobiota bacterium
Lineage: Bacteria; Pseudomonadati; Verrucomicrobiota
Description: Verrucomicrobia bacterium partial 16S ribosomal RNA
Rfam family: Bacterial small subunit ribosomal RNA
Source: RNAcentral
UAGGGAAUCUUCCGCAAUGGACGAAAGUCUGACGGAGCAACGCCGCGUGAGUGAAGAAGGAUUUCGGUUCGUAAAACUCUGUUGUUAGGGAAGAAAAAAUGUAUAGUAACUAUAUACAAAAGAGACGGUACCUAACCAGAAAGCCACGUCUAACUACGUGCCAGCAGCCUCGGUAAUACGUAGGUGGCAAGCGUUGUCCGGAAUUAUUGGGCGUAAAGCGCGCGCAGGUGGUUUAGAAAGUCUGAUGUGAAAGCCCACGGCUCAACCGUGGAGGGUCAUUGGAAACUAAUAAACUUGAGUGCAGGAGAGAAAAGUGGAAUUCCUAGUGUAGCGGUGAAAUGCGUAGAGAUUAGGAGGAACACCGGUGGCGAAAGCGGCUUUUUGGCCUGCAACUGACACUGAGGCGCGAAAGCGUGGGGAGCAAACAGG